ACUUCCGUUAUUGAUUAUGACGUACUUGUACUGAUUGAGAUUUUAACACGAAAGAGUGGCGAACGGGUGAGUAACACGUGGGUAACCUGCCCAGAAGUAGGGGAUAACACCUGGAAACAGAUGCUAAUACCGUAUAACAGAGAAAACCGCAUGGUUUUCUUUUAAAAAAUGGCUCUGCUAUCACUUCUGGAUGGACCCGCGGCGUAUUAGCUAGUUGGUGAGGUAAAGGCUCACCAAGGCAGUGAUACGUAGCCGACCUGAGAGGGUAAUCGGCCACAUUGGGACUGAGACACGGCCCAGACUCCUACGGGAGGCAGCAGUAGGGAAUCUUCCACAAUGGACGCAAGUCUGAUGGAGCAACGCCGCGUGAGUGAAGAAGGGUUUCGGCUCGUAAAGCUCUGUUGUUAAAGAAGAACGUGGGUAAUAUUAACUGUUUACCCAGUGACGGUAUUUAACCAGAAAGCCACGGCUAACUACGUGCCAUCAGCCGCGGUAAUACGUAGGUGGCAAGCGUUAUCCGGAUUUAUUGGGCGUAAAGCGAGCGCAGGCGGUCUUUUAAGUCUAAUGUGACAGCCUUCUGCUCAACCGAAGAAUUGCAUUGUAAACUGGGGAGACUUGAGUGCACAAACGACAGUGGAACUCCAUGUGU
This 649-nucleotide ribosomal RNA is filed under the name Pediococcus pentosaceus. RNAcentral's name for it is "bacterial SSU rRNA". It matches the Rfam family "Bacterial small subunit ribosomal RNA", at positions 66 to 676 of the family's 1533-position model. The record is from RNAcentral. Lineage: Bacteria; Bacillati; Bacillota; Bacilli; Lactobacillales; Lactobacillaceae.